CUCGGCCUCCCAGAGUGCUGGGAUUACAGGUGUGAGCCACCACACCCAACCACUUUCUUUCAUCUCUCUUGGAAAUACACCCAUCUUAUCCAUGGUUAUGCCCUAUUUCCUGGAACAUUGUCUGGCUCAAUACAUAUUAGUUGGAUGAAUGAAUGCAUCUCUGAAUUCCAACCAAAUACUUAUUGAUUGUUAGUCACCUGGCAGGCCUUGGGAGAGGGUGACAGGGGCAAGCUCAGCCAUAACAAAAAUUUACCUUUAAGUCCCACUGUCCCCACUGGUCUUUGGCCUCAUGGGCUUCCUGUGGCAUCCUAGGCAUGGUUCAGACCUAAGCCACUCUGGCAGCCCCAUCUCCAGCCCUGGUGGAGCUUAGAGUAAGCACUGCUCUCCAUGUAGCCUAGAGAUAUAUUCAUCCACUCUAUUUAUUCAUGUAUUUAUUCAUUCCACUAAUUCAUUCACUCAUGCAAUAAACAGCCCUAGUACUGGACCAUGGGGAUAAUGAGACAGAGAGAGUUCCUGCCUGUGAGUUCCCCAUAGCUUAGGGUCACAAGUAUAAGCAGAUAUGAAAACAGUUCGAUAAAUGGCCACUACAGGAGUAAGCACAGGGUGCCAUGGGGGUAGGGAGCAGGGGUGCCUAAUCCAAUCUGGGAGACAAGGAAUAUUUCAUACCCACCUACAGCUGCCAUUUAUUCACAGCUUUCUAUGUGCCAAGUACUCUGCCAAGCCCUUUACAUUCAUUUCUCCAAUUUACUCCUAAUAACAACCCUAUGAAGAAGGUGCUUGCUAUCCUGUCCAUUUUACAGAUGGGCAAACUGAGACUCAGAAAUGGGCAGUGACUUUCCCAAGGUCUUAGAACUUGUAUGGGCUAGUGUUGAGAUUUAACUCUAAUGUCAGGGCUCCUAGCAACUGUUCUGUAUGCCCCCUGUGCAGACCACCUCCUAUGCUAGUGAGGUUCCAUUUCAGUUGCAUCUUGAAGGGUAAGUAUGAGUCUGCUGGGCAAAUUGGCUGCCGUCAGCAUGAUGGUGGGAGGAAUUGUAGAGUGUGACGAUAUGGUUUGGAGGUUGCAAAAAGGCAUCUUAGACAAAAGGAGACAACAUGGGCAAAGAAACGGGUUGAAAACAGCAUUGUGUCUAGGGCAAACAAAUGGAAGAUGAUUUCUUCUCACCCAUCUUAGUAGAGAAAUUCUACAGGGGAUCUGUAACCCUGACGAUCCGUUGCAAUCAGAACCUUUGGGUGACUGUUGAGUCUUUAGACAUCAUACAGGAAAAUCUUGGUGGAAAGAAAAAUUAUAGCUGGCCCUUGUGGAUUUUGUAGUUUUGGGCCAGGAAGACUAAAAACAAUCUCAAUUCUGGUCUCAGGAAGAGGAGUGAGAGUAUGGGUCUGCCCAGUGGCUGAGUGGGUAGGUGAACUGGCUGGGUUAGCUGCUGCUGUUGGGGAGGGGGAGUUUCUAUUUCUUUCUCUCCCCUUCAGAUCUUUCUCCUUGCUUUUCACAUACCCAUCUUUCUCCUUGCUUUCCACAUAUACUGACUGAACAUUACCUGUGUGUCUAGUUUGGCGCUGUGGUAGAUACAUGGAUAAAGUAGGUCUGACCCCUGCUCUCAAAGUAUCUACAGUCUAGGAGGGAAAAUGGAAUAUUUUGAUAGAUAUGCUCAUUGAUAUGCUAAUAUUGACAGAUAUGUUAAUAUCUAUGGAUAUGUUCCAUUUCCCCUCCUAGACUGUAGAUAAUCAUCAGAGGGUUGCAUCAUUUACAAAGUGCAUUUAGUUGGAUAUACAUAUUUAGGAACCCAUGUGUGGCCAGGUGUGGGAAAGCAGAGAUAAAUGUUGCAGAAUCCCUGUUUCCGAGAAGCCGAAUUAUAGGAGAGGAACUCCUGAAGCAGAGUGUUAUGGGGGAAGCAUGUGAAAGGCACCGAGGAGCACUGAGGAAGGAGGGGAGGAGUUAGGGAAGCCACAGACAUGUUUCAUCCUUAAAGCCAGGCCUUUAUCCUGCCAGAGACAAUCCCAUUCAUGUUUCAUUUUGAUGGUCUUUGAAGAAAUAAAAUUUGGAUUGAUUAUUUCAGAAUCCUUCAUGACUGUGAAAUCCAUAUGAUGAGCUCCAUUUUUCCAUUGAAGGAACAGAGGCCCAGAGCAGUGAAGUGACUCACUCAAGGUCAAACAGCUGGCACAUGGCCAAGCUGGGCUAACCAGGUCUUUUGACUCAUGUUCUUUCUGAGACGGCCCACUGCCUCUACAAGGGAGAGAGUGACAAGUGCCUUGUGCCCAUGCACCAUCUACUUUUAGCUCUUUCCUUGGACCAAGGCCCAGAAAGUGCCCCGUUGUGUCACAUCUGUUCAAGCCUGUGGGUGAUCUGUGGGCUCUGGCUUAAUCCGGUAGAAGGAUUUAGUAACAUAGGUUGCCUGGCCUCUCAGUGGGAGAGCUGGUUAAUCUCCCACAAUCCUUGUUGUUCCAGCUCCUUCCCUUAGUUACGCUGAUUGGACUGAGGCUUGGAGCCCCAUUUUGGGGUCUUUGAAAAGUGAAUGGCAGCAGUCACUCUGAAGGUUUCCCUGAAGAUGCAUUGAGAUUCAGGGCUUAAAUGGGGCACAGGGUAAAGCUGCCUUGUCCCAGGCAGUGAGGCAUACAAAAGUGGGUGGGGUUCUCUGAAGCAGUUGCAAAAAAAGGGAAGGAAAGGGCAUCCACACUGACUGAGUUAGCACAUUGUGCAUAGCAUAGCAAAUUUACAUACAUUUGAGAGGAAACAUUCACCGCCAAAGGACAUGAAGAUUUUGCAGUAAGCUUCAAAGACUCGUCUUGAUGAUAUAGUCACUUCCUUGUCAUUUUUUUCUGCUAGAAUAGCAAUCUCCUUAAAAUGAUGUAGGUGAAAGCAUCCUGUUCCAUGCCCACCUGGAAGCCCCUCUCUCGUGUUUCACAGAUGGAUGGGAGGAAAGUGGUGCAGAGAUGUCAAGCAAGAUCACAGAAUUAAUCAUUGCAGAAGAGACUUGAAUUUAGGGCUUGGACUCCAGGACAGCAUGUGGGACAAACGGAACACUUCUAAGGCCACUGAGCCCUUAGGAGGAGGGUAGAGUUGGGGGGUUCAUGCCCAAUACAUGGGCAUGUUUGCUGAAUGCAUACAAUCCAGAUGAGAUGGGUGGGGGCAAAGAGACUGCUUGGCCCAGUGCUAGGCUCUGUGGUCAGGUGCUCACAGAGACAUGCCUGCAGCUCCCACUUUUUCUAGAGGAGCCAGUCAGAUCCCAGCUCUGGAGGGCAAAGGCCAUUCCUCUGAGAGAAUGACCUCUUUCUCUCAAGAAGCUCCUUCUUUUAGAACAGUGGCUACUCCAGCCCCAGCCAUCGAACACAACUGAACCAAGAAAUAAAUGGUUCUCAUGGCCAGGGAGACGCUUCUACAGUUUAAUUUGGCAUAAUUAUACAUUCCCUCAAUAGGUUUUGUGAUGUGCAUUGUUAUUUCAGCAAAAAAUUGUUUGAGUAUAAAAAGUUUUUUAUUAUAAAGAAAAAUCGUUUUUUUUUUUGUUUGUUUUUUUCAAGGUCUUUAUCAUCCCCCUAGGGCUGGUUCUUUCCCACAUUCGUGACAGACAGAUCCUGGGGUUGCUUUCCCCCCUUUCCUAAUUCAUGCUUUGAAGAGAGAGGGAAGCCUAAAUGAUAUGGUAUGACGCUAGGGGCUGUGAAGGCCAGAGGAAGGCCAGGUCAAUGGUGAAGGGAGAAGUGUGCCUCCUUGAAAUGGAGAUGGUGUCAGCCUCCCUGAGCCAGGCUGUGUCUGGUCAAGGACACAGACACUGUAUGCUGGCAGAUAUACUGUACUUACUCAGGACUCAAAUCCUGGGUCGGCCACUUGCUAGCUGUGUGACAUUUGACAAGGUGCUCAACCUUGCCCUUUCCUUCAGUCUAGUUUGCUUUCCAAACUGAGGUAAAAAUAUUCCUGAGAGAAGUGUGUCACUGCUGGAGGAUAUAAAGUCACUCAAUCAAUAAACAUGGCAUUUGCUAAUGAAGCACCAGUUUUAUCAAAACAUUGGUGGUGGUGGUGGUGGUUGUGUGUGUGUGUGUGUACCUUGGCAAUAAUAAUAUAAUAUUUACAUUCAAACAAAUACAGCUAUUUAGUGGAAGAGAUAGUCAAAUGCUCAUGAAUUUUAAGGCUGAACAGGGAGCUUUGAAGCCUCUUAAUGUUUGCCUUGGCCUACUUUUGCCUAUAUAUUCUCUCUUGGUGCUUACCCAUUCUCUCUUUUUCCCUGUUUCAAGGUCCUGCAGAGAUAAAUGUGACAGAAAGCUGUUUCUUCUAUGAAAUGAAAAUGACAUCCCCUGCCCAAGAGCAGUGGUAUAAUAAUUCCAUAAGAUAAUGUAUUUAAAAUCAUUCAAGGUUUGCUGAUAAGCCAUUAGCUACAACACCAAAGGUACAAGGCAUGAGAGAAAAAGCUGGGAAACAAGACUGCAAAGCAGCGUCCCCUUUGUAUAUAUUCAACAGAGUUCUCCCUUUGCUGUUGUUCUCCGGGUUCUUUUGCACAAAUUACAUGUUCCUCCUACCCUGGCUUUAAUCAUCACAACCUUGAAUCCUCAUCAAACUCUCUGCCUAUCUCAAACCAGUGCUUAAAGGACACUCUUACCCUUAGAAGAAAUGGUAUAAUUUUCAUAAACAUGGGUCAUUUCCCCCUUGCAUAAAUGUCAGAUACAAAACCGCCACUUAACAAGAUGUGCCAGAAAUACAGAAUGUCUGAACAAAGGCUGUUGACAAUAGCAUCUUUUUUCCUUUUUUGUAGUUCUGUGAAAUUGCUCUCCCAAAAUAUUCCUAAUGCUUUAUUUACUUCAGUGUUGGGUUUAUUUUGGGAUAAACUUUCCUGAAGCUGAAUCUUAGGAUGUGAUUCUUAUCCUGGUCACAUCCUGGGGAGUUGUUUUGUGACUUUUUUGAAUGGGCCCUGGCUCUUCCAGGGAGCCCCUGGUGCUGAGGAAGAGGCAGGGGCCAGAGGAUGUCAACUCCCGUGUGCGGAACACAGACAGAGAUGACGAACCAUCAGCUUCGGUGGAAAUACUCCCCAAAGGAGAGCCUGCGCCGCCUGGUCUCCAACAAUGGCAGAAGUGAACCCAGCUCAGACUUUAUCAAUGAUCUGUUCCGGAGAGUGGUGUGUCUCAUAGUUUCCAACAUCUGAGUGAUUUGUGACUAUUAGGAAUUCAGACACUGGAUGAUUAAAACCGCUGGUGCUGGGAAUUUUCUCAUUUCAGGAAAUUUUGGUUGUGAGGCAUGCUGGAACCUUACCAGCCAGCAGACACGAAGGGGAGGAAGUCCAGGCAGGGCCAGGAAUGAGACUGUGGGAAUUGACCAGAAGGCGGCACCACGGCUUAGCUUUCAUGUCAGACAGAUCUGCGUGGGCACCCUGCUUCCCUGAGCCUCAGUUUCUUUGCUAGCAGAGUGGAGGUGAUGAGAGUUGAAUUAAAGAAUGUCAUGCCUGGCACGCAGUAAGGGCUCCAGAUGGGAGUUCUCCUCUCUUUUCUUUCCCUGAGUGGCUAGAAGUCUAAUGAGUGUCUUAAGGGUGAGGUGAACUGAGGUUUUGUCUAGCCUAUGGUUGGUCUGACUUGAGGGAAAGAUGGUCUUCAGUGAGAAUCUAAGCUAGAGCUUGGAGUUCAAGAGACUCGGCCUAGCUCUGAGAGAUGAGGGACAAGGGCUGGCCAAAGAAAGAUUGUCCAGAUCCCAAGGCCUCUGGGCUCAGGGUUGGGCUUUAAUCUGAACUUUGAUCAGUGAGGAAGCUGACAUAGCCCCAGGUUUAUCCUGGAUUAUAUAGUAUAGAGCCAUGGUUCUCAGCGUGGCCUGAGGACCCUGGAGGAACCUGAGGUACUUUUAGAGGUUCAUGAGAUCAGAACUAUUUUUAUAAUGCUACUAAGAUGUAAUUUUCCCUUUUCAUUGGUUGAUGUUUAAACUGAUGGUGUAAAAGCAACAGUGGUAAACAGCUGGUGCUUUAGUUUGGAUCAAGGUAGUGGUAGCAAACUGCAGUAGUUAUCAUUGUAUUAUUCACCACCACAUGUGCACGGUAGGAAGAAAAAAGUCAGUUUCACUUAAUGUCCUUGACGAAGCAAUAAAAAUGAUCAAAUUUAUUAAACUUCAGCCUUCGAGUGUCUGGCCUGUCUUUUUAAUGAUUGGUGUGAUGAGAUAAGAGUAUGGGUAAAGCUUUUCUGUUGCCUACAAAAGCACAGUGGUGGUCUCAAGGAAAAGCACCAGAGUGAGUGAGUGAGUUGGGAGCUGAAGUAGCCAUUUUCUCCAUGGAAAACCAUUUUCCUGGAAAGAACGAUUGACAGACACACUGCAGUUAUUCAGCCAUGGGUAGUUGGCAGACACACACCCACACACACACCUACACACACCCACAGACACACGCACACACAUCCACCCACACAUAUAUAUAUUUAAAUGAUGAAGUCAGAGCUGUUACUUCAAGGAAAACAAAUGACAGUAUGUACGGCCAAUUAUAAAAUUUGAGAGUUCAAAUGAAAAACUGGGAUUUUGGAAAACUUGUAUCCUUCACUGUGAGCUGGUUUCAGAUUCCACAUGGCAGUGACCCUUUAAAAAUCCACCACUUGUCAAGUUUUGGUGUACUAUCAAAGAGGAAUGUCCACAGUUAUCUGAAUAGAUUAUUAAAAUACUUCUCCCUUAUUCAACUUCAUGAUGUGUGAGGCCAGGUUUCUUCAUAUCCUUUAAUCAAAUAACACAUGACAAUAGGCUGAAUGCAAAAUAUAUGUGAAUCUGCUUUGUAUGUUAAUAAGUCAGACAUUAAAGAUGUUGCAAACCUGAAACAAUGGCAUUCUUCUUACUAAUUUUGCUAUGGAUUUUUUUUCAUUAAAAUUUAUUAUUUAGAUUAACAUGUAACAGAUUUAUUACUGUUAUUUUAAGGGAAUCGAUAAAUGUUUUUAAAAGUUCUCUAAUUUCUGACUUGAUAAAUAUUACUAGACAUGACCCACAUAAACAAAACCUCUUUAGAAUCCUGUCAUUUUUAAGAGUGUAAAGGAGGCUCAGUUCAAAUCUUGGUUCUGCCAUUUACCAACUGUGCUAUCCUGGGCAAGUUACUUAACUGCUCUGUGCCUCAAUUCCUUUAUCAAUCAAAUAGAGAUAAUUUUAACCUAUCUCAUAUAGAUAAGUUGUAAUAAUUAAGCUUAACAUAUAUAAAGUGCUUAGAACAGCUCCUGGUAUAUAACAAGUGUUAUAUAAAGAUUCUAAUGAUAAUAGUUACUAUAACACAGCAUUGUAGUGCUGUGUUAUAAUAGCUAUUGGUUAUGGUCUGUGUUCCAGUCUGUUUUCCCCACCUGAGGCCUUGGGGCAGGCUGUGUGGCUCCCCCAAGAUCAGGGUCUGCUGUCUCUGAUUGAUCUCUGAGUCCUAGCACAAAGCUUGGCACCCAUUAGGUAGUCAUAAAGUUUGGUGAGGAAAUGAAUGAGUAGUUGGGGGAAGGCAGGACAAAUUCCAGACAUUCCUGAUAGGCAACGAAGUUCCCCUAUGAAGAGGCUAAAAUCCUAAGUGGUAAGAGUGAGACUGUAAGUGGAGGUGGAGGCACAAACGGGAACUGGAUUGAGGUGGGAGCAGGUAGAGUGAGAGUCUCAAACAUGUGCAGUAACUGACGGAAUAGCCCCUUAUGACAUACAGUCUGAUGCCUGGUGGGGAGGUGUGCCAGGCUGAAUGAAGACACCAGGUGAGACCGGCCCCACCUGCUGAUGGGGCUGGGUAACACAGCCUGCUUUAUUCCACCUGGAUGGCCUCCGAACCUUCAAGACACCUUGGUUAAUAACGGGAAUCUCUGCAUCUGCCGCCGCACUGCAUGGGGCUGGGGAGAUCAGAGAGAAAAGAGUUAGGCUGAAGCACUAAAUACUAGUCUCUCAUAAUUUCCGGAUCUACAUUUUACAUGACUUGGCGUGUUUGACCAUGUUGUAAUUGUAAAUGGUUACCUCAGUUAUUUUUGGACAUCCAGGAAGAAAGGGGAAAAAUGUAGCUCAGUACCUACCCUGCGUCAAGCACUUGAUUAAUGCUUUCACAUGUAAACCUCAAGACCACCUCAUGAGGAAAGUGCCCUUAUACCCAUAUUGGAUAUGAAGAAACUGAAGCUCAGGGGAUGUAAGUAAUGUCUCUGUGGUCACACUGCUAAUUGGUGGUCUAGCUGGGAUUGGAACCCAAGUCUGUGUGAAUACCAUGUCCCUACCCUUUAAAAAAGCAAAUUUUAUUUUAUUUUCUAUUACACAAGUAAGGCAUAUUAUCUAAAAUUGAGAAAAUACUGAUAAGUAAAAAAAUAAAAAUUAUCCAUAAAUUCUGCCAUUCAGAUAUAAGAGCUACAAUCACAUUGGUAUGUCUUUCCAGACUUUUUUUCCGCAUGUAUAUAUUUGUAACCAGCUUUUCUGCUUAACGAUAUAUCAUAAAUGUCUUUCUGCAUCUAUAAACGUAUUUCUGUAUCAUUUAAAAAGACUGCAUAGUAUUUCAUUUUAUGAAUGAACUGUUUAUUUAACUGAUCUUCCGUUGCUAAAUAUUUAGGUUAUAUCUAGCUUUUUACUAAUAUUAAAAAUGCUGCAGUAAGCAUCCUUGUAGUUUAAUCUGUGUGUGUAUUUUUACUUCCUUGGGAUAAAUUCCUAGAAGUGAGAUUGAUGAUUAAAAGCGCAUUUU
Molecule: long non-coding RNA, 8606 nt
Filed under: Homo sapiens (human)
Lineage: Eukaryota; Metazoa; Chordata; Mammalia; Primates; Hominidae
Description: HSALNT0292385
Source: RNAcentral